GGAGUCUGGCUCUCGAGAUUCGGAGGACGGUGCCUCUUCGAUUUUGGGGCAAGCAAUCUUAUUGGGAGUGUUUUCUCGAAUGUGAGUAAAGGUUGGGCAUGUUUGCUAGUCUACCUUGCCACGAAGCACAGAGGUUGACACACAGGGACUUUCCAAUUAUCCAGCAGUGGUACUGUUCCUUUACAGUUGUGGGUAAUAAUAUGGUAGCUAGACCUUCAAAAUUUAUGUGUCUAAACUUUUGUUAGUGCUGUUUCUUUGCUAUUCUUUUACCUUUCUUGGUCAGAGCGAUGUAGUGGGAGCUGCAAGCUUCACGUGCUCAACUUUGGCAGAGAACUUUGGCAAAGUUAUUUGUGGUACCCAUGAGCUAUUGUUGCGUGUGGGAAGUGGGUGAUUGAACAGUAAGAUUCAUGUGCUUUCUACUUCACCAGAAGUCUUCGACAGAAUGCCCAUAAUUUCUGCAAAGCUGAGUGUGCGUGUGACAGUUGCUGACAAGGCUAGAAAAGUAGGUGCCUCUUCGAUUUCUGAGAUCGGCCCUCGUGGUCUCUGAGCAGCCCAGCUUUUGAGAAAGCGAGCACCUCUUCGAUUGAUUCGGAGAACGAUGCCUCAUCGAUUUUUGAGCAAGCAAUCAUGCUGGGGGUCUGGCUCUCGAGAUUCGGGGAGCAGUGUCUCUUCGAUUUUUGAGAAAGUAAUCAUGUUGGGAGUCUGGCUCUCGAGAUUCGGAGGGCGGUGCCUCUUCGAUUUUGGAGCAAGCAAUCUUGUUGGGAGUGUUUUCUCGAAUGUGAGUAAAGGUUGGGCAUGUUUGCUAGUCUACCUUGCCACGAAGCACAGAGGUUGACACACAGGGACUUUCCAAUUAUCCAGCAAUGGUACUGUUCCUUUACCCUCUCUUCGAUUUUUAAGAAAGUAGUCAUGUUGGGAGUCUGGCUCUUGAGAUUCGGAGGACGGUGCCUCUUCGAUUUUGGAGCAAGCAAUCUUAUUGGGAGUGUUUUCUCGAAUGUGAGUAAAGGUUGGGCAUGUUUGCUAGUCUACCUUGCCACGAAGCACAGAGGUUGACACACAGGGACUUUCCAAUUAUCCAGCAGUGGUACUGUUCCUUUACCCUUGUGGGUAAUAAUAUGGUAGCUAGACCUUCAAAAUUUUAUGGGUCUAAACUUUGUUAGUGCUGUUUCUUUGCUAUUCUUUUACCCUUCUUGGUCAGAGCGAUGUAGUGGGAGCUGCAAGCUUCACGUGCUCAACUUUG
RNAcentral lists this long non-coding RNA (1240 nucleotides) under Malus domestica (apple). RNAcentral describes it as "long non-coding RNA (MDOM_LNC017199)". The record is from RNAcentral. Lineage: Eukaryota; Viridiplantae; Streptophyta; Magnoliopsida; Rosales; Rosaceae.